RNAcentral lists this long non-coding RNA (758 nucleotides) under Cyclopterus lumpus (lumpfish). RNAcentral's name for it is "lncRNA (ENSCLMG00005021062.1)". Lineage: Eukaryota; Metazoa; Chordata; Actinopteri; Perciformes; Cyclopteridae. The record is from RNAcentral.
CAGGAGACUGAGGGGAAAGAGGGAGCGGGACAGUCUGUCAGCAUGAGUCGGCAGCAGAGCAGGCCGGCGAUGGAAAGCGCUGCUCAAUAGACCGAUAGCUCGAUAUAUAUAUUUAUAUCUAUAUAUAGACAUAAAUAGGUGGAUGUCAGCUGUGUGUGAAGCAGAAGGCGACAGAAGACGAGGAGGAGAAACAUGAGUCGGCAGCAGCAGCAGUCCCAGGGAGUGGUUUUAACGGGUUACCACAGCAACGCGGAACUGUUGCCGAAAACUGGACCGUGUGCCCCCAGCUGUCCGUCAGCCCAGGACCACGAGCCCAGCCGCAGAACCGGCCACUACACCCUUCAACAGAACCAGAGCACACAACAUGAAGACAGAUCUGGGCUUUCUACAACCAACAGCAGUACAAAGCCCCCCAGCACUCACCCACCAUCACUACUGCAGUCUUCCUCCAGCCCCAAGCCGGGCUCCAGCCCCAAGCCGGGCUCCAGCCCCAGACACAGUCCUAAUCCCAGUUCCAGGUCCAGACCGCUGCCACCGUGUCAGCGGAGCAACUCUCAGGACUCUCUGGACGAGCUGGAGAUGGACGACUAUUGGAAUGAGGUGGAGAAUAUCACCCGCUCGGGGGGAGAAGAGGGGAAGGGAGAAGGUGGAGGAGAAGGAGAAACUCAGGAGGAGGAGCAGCAGAAGAUUCCUGAGGGUAAGAGACACCGUGUUCCAUGGAUUGACCCGAAAGAGACACACACACCCUUUUUCUUUCA